GAUGAACGCUGGCGGCGUGCCUAAUACAUGCAAGUCGAGCGAACGGACGAGAAGCUUGCUUCUCUGAUGUUAGCGGCGGACGGGUGAGUAACACGUGGAUAACCUACCUAUAAGACUGGGAUAACUUCGGGAAACCGUAGCUAAUACCGGAUAAUAUUUUGAACCGUAUGGUUCAAAAGUGAAAGACGGUCUUGCUGUCACUUAUAGAUGGAUCCGCGCUGCAUUAGCUAGUUGGUAAGGUAACGGCUUACCAAGGCAACGAUGCAUAGCCGACCUGAGAGGGUGAUCGGCCACACUGGAACUGGGACGCGGUCCAGACUCCUACGGGAGGCAGCAGUAGGGAAUCUUCCGCAAUAGGCGAAAGCCUGACGGAGCGACGCCGCGUGAGUGAUGAAGGUCUUCGGAUCGUAAAACUCUGUUAUUAGGGAAGAACAUAUGUGUAAGUAACUGUGCACAUCUUGACGGUACCUAAUCAGAAAGCCACGGCUAACUACGUG
Molecule: ribosomal RNA, 497 nt
Filed under: uncultured bacterium
Lineage: Bacteria
Description: partial 16S ribosomal RNA
Rfam family: Bacterial small subunit ribosomal RNA
Source: RNAcentral